Caretta caretta (loggerhead turtle) is the source of this 2298-nucleotide long non-coding RNA. RefSeq lists it as uncharacterized. The record is from RefSeq and is a predicted model, not a curated record. Lineage: Eukaryota; Metazoa; Chordata; Testudines; Cheloniidae.
CCUCCCCUGUAGGAUUCAUACAAGGUUUAUGUGCUUGGCAACAUUCAGGGCACACCUGGAGUGUUGUGCUGGACCUGUGCACACACAGCUCCUCUCAAGGGCAUCAACCUUGGAAUCUCGCCCAGAUGUCGUGAAUCGUGGGAAGCCUCCCAGGACUGGGCUCAAGGCCCGAGAGCAAGGAAUGCGGUAGAUAGAAAGAAUGUUAAACAAAGCCAGUGUAUUCCUUUUAUCUGUUGGAGAACGUAAUGCGCGGGGGGAGAGAAAGAAUAAAGGGGGAAGGUGGAAAGCUGAUAGGCAGAAGCCUGUUAGCAGACCAGCCGCUUGCUUGCUAAAAGCUCUGUGCUGUCUUGUCAUUGAACCGCCACAACUGGCACCCAAACGUGGGGCCCUCAGCACUCACUCGCCCGGCAAGGGUUUCAGACGCAUCACUCAUCUGCUUCGCGGAUCCCGGGCUGGUGGACACUGGAGCUGACGUUACAGUGAUUUGUGAUCUGGAGUGGCCGGUCGGUUGGCCAACAGUUCCUUCUAAAGAGUUGUGGGGGAUUGGGGGUAGCAAACCCGGGCGCCAAAGUUUGUCUUGGGUCACGGUCUCCAAACCAGGAGGCCGUGCCCUUGCUACAAUCCAUCUUUUUGUACUCCCUGUCCACCUCAAUAUUUGGGGCCGUGACUUACUUGCAAAGCUGGACACCACCCUCGAUAUUAAUAUAGAAUGGCCCAAAAUCCUCCCUCACCCACCUUGCCAUCCACAUUACCAUUGGUAUGGCAAUCCUUAGAGCCCGUAUGGAUUGACCAGUGGCCCCUCCCCCUAGAAAAACUGAAAGCGCUUCAUUCACUUGUACAACAAUAUUUGCAUGCACAGCGCUUGGAGAGCUUCACUAGUCCUAGGAACUAGCUGCUGUUAUUUUGGCCUUUCAACUUUUUGCUGAUUGUCCCUUUAAUUUGAUUGUGGACACGCAUUAUGUUUAUCAGGUAAUUGAUCAUUUACCCCUUGCCCUUAAUACCCCUCAGGUCGAUGCGGACCUUCUUUGCCUGUUUUUGUCCUUACAGUAUCUCAUCACCACUCGUAAUUUCCCUUAUUUUGUUGCUCAGAUUCGCAGUCAUACCCCUCUGCCUGGACUGCUUACUGAGGGCAAUGCGCGUGCCGAUCGUGCGUUACGUGGUCAGGACCGUUGUGGGUUCCGGCCCGGUGUGUGCAACCGGCACUGAAACAGCAUGGCGUGGCACCAGGAGCUGUCGAACCCCAUACCGGAGUUUCAGCUGAUCUUGGAGGAGAACGCGGUGCCUCCCGGGUCGACAACGGCGGGACGGAAACGGAGGAGGAGUAGCGUCCCAAGCCAGCCCGUGACAUGGGAAGCAGUAAAAGCAUUGGUCGCCGUGGCUCAAUGAAGACUGGCAGCAAACCAACAGCCAGAGACUUCUGAGACUUUGUUUGUGGCAAUUCUCGCCCAAAUUACUGCUAAUUCUGUAUUGACAAUAUGCCUUUUGUGCCUGCUAUUUCCUGUAGGGGUUGGCUCGGGAGCGCUUUCUCCGUUACGGGCCCGAAUGACAUAUAACCUAUGGGAAAGAUUGGCUUCAAUAGCAAAUGUUACCCACUUUUGUUUAUCUGAUUUUGUAGCAGCUGAAGAAUUGUUAGGUAUGUGCCUUAUUCCAGUAUGUCAUCACCCUGAGGAAAUUGGAAAUGAGAUGAUGCUCGCUGCUUACGCGAACCUCUCUUCCCAGUACUUUAGCAUGGCUAAUUGGGGCCCGGCCAAUUACAUUUUACCUUCUUAAGCUUAUUUUUUGCUGUUGCUGUGUGCAAUGUAUUUCCUUUUUGUUAAGGCUUUGUUGAGAACCGCCCUGGCAGGCUCCACGAGUUAUGACCUUGUCUGUCUGGGAGUUAAUUGGCUUGCAAAAGCAAAUUGAUGGCUACCAUGAGAUGGCCGAGCACAAAUAAACAAAAAAGGAGGGGAUGUAGGAUUCAUACAAGGUUUAUGUGCUUGGCAACAUUCAGGGCACACCUGGAGUGUUGUGCUGGACCUGUGCACACACAGCUCCUUUCAAGGGCAUCAACCUUGGAAUCUCACCCAGAUGUCGUGAAUCGUGGGAAGCCUCCCAGGACUGGGCUCAAGGCCCAAGAGCAAGGAAUGCGGUAGAUAGAAAGAAUGUUAAACAAAGCCAGUGUAUUCCUUUUAUCUGUUGGAGAAUGUAAUGCGCAGGAGGAGAGAAAGAAUAAAGGGGAAGGUGGAAAGCUGACAGGCAGAAGCCUGUUAGCAGACCAGCCGCUUGCUUGCUAAAAGCUCUGUGCUGUCUUGUCAUUGA